RNAcentral lists this transfer RNA (72 nucleotides) under Ostreobium quekettii. Its description in RNAcentral is "tRNA-Ala". It matches the Rfam family "tRNA". Rfam says of the family: Transfer RNA (tRNA) molecules are approximately 80 nucleotides in length. Their secondary structure includes four short double-helical elements and three loops (D, anti-codon, and T loops). Further hydrogen bonds mediate the characteristic L-shaped molecular structure. tRNAs have two regions of fundamental functional importance: the anti-codon, which is responsible for specific mRNA codon recognition, and the 3' end, to which the tRNAs corresponding amino acid is attached (by aminoacyl-tRNA synthetases). tRNAs cope with the degeneracy of the genetic code in two manners: having more than one tRNA (with a specific anti-codon) for a particular amino acid; and 'wobble' base-pairing, i.e. permitting non-standard base-pairing at the 3rd anti-codon position. The record is from RNAcentral. Lineage: Eukaryota; Viridiplantae; Chlorophyta; Ulvophyceae; Bryopsidales; Ostreobiaceae.
GGGGAUAUAGCUCAGUGGUAGAGCAGUGCUUUUGCACAGCAAAGGUCAGCGGUUCGACUCCGCUUAUCUCCA